Molecule: ribosomal RNA, 497 nt
Filed under: uncultured bacterium
Lineage: Bacteria
Description: partial 16S ribosomal RNA
Rfam family: Bacterial small subunit ribosomal RNA
Source: RNAcentral
GAUGAACGCUGGCGGCGUGCCUAAUACAUGCAAGUCGAGCGAACAGACGAGGAGCUUGCUCCUCUGACGUUAGCGGCGGACGGGUGAGUAACACGUGGAUAACCUACCUAUAAGACUGGGAUAACUUCGGGAAACCGGAGCUAAUACCGGAUAAUAUAUUGAACCGCAUGGUUCAAUAGUGAAAGACGGUUUUGCUGUCACUUAUAGAUGGAUCCGCGCCGCAUUAGCUAGUUGGUAAGGUAACGGCUUACCAAGGCGACGAUGCGUAGCCGACCUGAGAGGGGGAUCGGCCACACGGGAACUGAGACACGGUCAAGACGCCUACGGGAGGCAGCAGUAGGGAAUCUUCCGCAAUGGGCGAAAGCCUGACGGAGCAACGCCGCGUGAGUGAUGAAGGUCUUCGGAUCGUAAAACUCUGUUAUUAGGGAAGAACAAAUGUGUAAGUAACUAUGCACGUCUUGACGGUACCUAAUCAGAAAGCCACGGCUAACUACGUG